AGAAAUCCCUUUGUUUAGGAGAUGGACAAGUCCGGGAGCUACGAAAGGGAGGCUGAGAGCUGGAGAAAGACAAUAGUUUCUUCAUCAAUUGUCAUCCUCACUACGACAUGGGAGGAAUGAGUCAGGAGACUUGAGACUCAGUGGUCUUUUACUCUUCUGCUGGUCAGAAAUGGUGGGUUGCUUGUUUGGAUCUUGAAAUUAACAUCUCUGCCAAGGAUAAACACACAGUGAAUGAAAGAAAAUGGAGAGCAGCUGGCAGUGACUCAACAGAGUCCCCCACCCUAUCCCUUCAGAGAAUAUUUUCUUAGGAUUUGUAACUUGGUUCUCAGUAACGUUAAGUUCCAUUUAAGAUGGACGUAGAAAUACGUAGUAUGUAUUUUUGAAGUCAAAGCAAACACUGAAGAACAAAUUGUGAAAUUUCAUUUGGCAGCAGGAGGUUGCAUCAUUGGCUUUCCUUUCAGCCUCAGGAGGUUUCAUAACAUCUGAAGACAUCAUCAUGAGUGUGAGAAAGCUGACAUUUAAGAGUCUAAGAAUGGGAAAAAUUAUUAACCAUUAAGUGUCAAGGAUGUGAAGUGUUUGAACCAGUAUUCAUAGGUUGCUUAAAGAAGUCAUGAUUGCUCACAAAUAGGAAAUAAAACAUGUUAUGCAAGGAGGAAUAUGUAUUCUUGGGUCCUGUAAAAUGUUUCCUUUAUACCCACCCCGUGAUACUGGGAGCCUCCAUACGCUUCCAUUUUUCAAAACUUUAGAAGCUCAGGUAGUCUGGGCACUUAUGGUGGAGGGCCAUACAGGAGCACAGGAUGGAUGAUACAGAUGAGUUAUUGUGUGAGACUGAGUUCUUUUUUUCUUGAGUACCAAAUGUACAUUGUUUUGCAUAAAAACUCAUCACCCAUUUUGCUGUUCACUAACGUAAUAUUUAGAGGUCCUCCUGUAGAAUUUUAAAAUUUGCUUCAUUGAUUCUUCCAGAUGAUUUUGUGCUGUCAGAGGUUGCUGUCAUAUUGCUAUUGAUUCUUAUCUUUAAAUUCUUUCUGUGUAGAAUGACUGACAGUAAUCUGUCUUGCUGACAGCUUUCUCCUACAAUGAAAAAUGACUUUCUUCCCUACUUGUAAGUCCCAUUUGCCAAUACUUUGGACAUAAAAUAGAGGAUGACAUGAAGCAAAAUUAUCUAGCUUUUGUUUAUGUGGAUAUGUGUGUUUAUCUACAUACAUAUGCAUAUAUGUGUGCAUAUAUGCAUAUCUAUUUUAAUGGGAAGUGUCUUAAUUUUCUUGGUUUGCAAUUUUAUGCUAUGAUGCUAUUUGAAAGGGUGAAUACCAGUAGGUCUACUAUAAACUCUUAUGUAUCCAUGUUAAUGCUAAUAACAUAUAAAAAUAAAGACAGUAUAACUUAAUCUGGCUGUGAAAAUAUGUACUUCUUUUUAACCAGCACUGCAGUGCAAAGAUAUAGUUUAUCUUUGUUCAUGGAUUUUGUGUGAUGUUUGGCAGGAGGGGUUGCAUCCUUUUGCCAAUGUUUUUUUUCUUUUAUUGUCUUUAGAAAAUUUACAUUGUUUGUGAAUUAUUUUCAGCACAGUCCUAAACCCAGGAACCAGCUGAUCUUUCUCUUACAAGUCUGUGGUAUGUUUUGAAAAGGCUGUCUAACUGAGGUUAUAUGUUGCAAAAACAUCAUCACUUUUAUAUGAAACAAGAAGACAAGUAAAAACGGAGCAGGACAAUCAUUUGACUGACUUAGCUGCUUACUAUCAUUUUAUGCAGAAGUACAAGCUCUCAGAUGUUGUUUUUUCUACCCCCUUUUCUCACUAGAAGAAAUUUAGUUUGGAAUAGGAAAAGCAGAAUAGGGAAAACUGUCCUUCUAUACAUGACUUCCAGUCUUAAGUUACUAACCAAAAUAAAGCAUCCCUGCAUAGCUUAGAUCUUCUAUUCAUGUAUUGUAAUUUUACCAUCUCAUAGUCAUGUUAUUUGUAACCUAGCCUUUAGAAAUUAUUUUCUUUUAAUGAAAAGAAAGGAUGCAUUCAAAACAGAUGUUAUAAAAUGCUAUGUUAAUAUUUCCUAUAGAUUUGCAACUAUUACCAUUUGACUAGAGUUCCAGCAUUUUUCUCAUAAAUACCAAUUUCAUACAAAAACAUUUAUCUGUGUUAUAGGACUGCGCAUUGCAAGUGGAAAGUGAUCCGAAUAACCAAAACACUGUUAGAUAUCUUCCACACGAGUGACUCAUUUAGCCAGCUGGCCCCACUGCAUUCAAGUCUGGGGACCCCAAUGCAAGAAAUAUAUGGAACCACUGGAGCAGGACCAGAAGGGAGCCACAAAGUUGAUCAGAGGGCUGGAGCACCUCUCCUAUGAAGAAAGCUUGAGAGAACUGGGCUCGUUUAGCUUGGAGAAGAGAAAGCUCUGGGGAGACCUCUUUGUUGCCUUCUAGUACUCAAGGGGAACACAAGUGGGAUCAGCUUCUUACAUAGGUGGGGAUAGGACAAGGAAGAAUAUCUGCAAACUAAAAGAGGGAAGACUAAAGUUGGAAUCUGGAUCUUUCUGACAUGCAGAGGCGGGGACUCAUCAUUUCUGCUACAGAAGACCACCAACAAAAUAGAAUUACUACAGGAUACAGGGUGAUGAUUCACUGGAUGCUCUCUCCCUUCUGAGUAAUGACUGAAGCAUAGCUGAUGCUGAGGAUGGAAAAGACAGCUUGUCAGAAAAAAAGAAAACAAAAAACAAAAAACUAUGGCUAUUUUUAGUGCUGUCCUUAUAUCUUGGUCAAAAUUUCCUCUUCCUGAGACUUUCUAAGCUGUGUUAUGACUUCAGUCUGCAUUGGUAGUGCUUUAGGUAGAAUUAGGGUGCUUUGCUGUACUACGGCUCAGCAUUUAUGUCAGUUACUGCCGAAAGUUUUAUGUUAAAGUUUGUUUUAACUAAAAUGAACUGACUUCUAAAAAUUUGCAGAUGUAUACACAUCCCUGUAGACAAUAAGCAAACUGUUGUAGGGAUUUCCCUCAGUGCCUUUUCCUACUGUAUCCAGCCCUGGUACAUUAGUCAACCGAAAACUGGCUAUACCUGUUUAUGAUAUUUCCUGUGCCAUGCCUAAGAUACAAGAUUUUGAAAUUAUAUUUGGAAUAUUUUUGAAAUGUUGGAAUUUCAUGAGGUAAUUCCCCCCUCAUUUACUUUUUUCACAUUUCUUAAUGCAAUAAGGUAUUGGGAAAGUAAUGACAGAAAUGUCUAACAAAGGAAGAAUUAUUUCAUUCCUAUACUAAUAGGAAUCACCAUUCAGACAAGACAGCUUAUACUGAGGAUGUGUAAUGGUUCUUGUUCAGUUUUCCUAACAAAAAGAUGUGCUCAAUUUAAUGAGGUGCAUUUUUGUUAGAUGUAUUGUUAAGAUAUUAAAAUAAUAUUAAAAUAAUAUUAAAAAUCAGCCUUUCUGAUUUAUUUUCGAUUUUCUCCAUUUCCAUUCAAAUGUUUUUGUGGGUUGAUUUAUACAUAUUGUUCUCAGUUCUUAAGGUCCCCUAAGUAUGGUUCAUUAUCUUCAGAAAUUAAUGUGGAGGAAUUACUCAGCAUAUAUGGGUCUAUGCAAUUACUACCUGCUACUAAUGUGAACAUUUUGGAUACACUUUUUUUUUUUCACCUUUUCCUCUCGUUGGAGGAUUAGCUCUCAAGGGAGCUAUUUCCUAGCUAUUCACUAUUUAUUUAUUUACUUAUUUCCUGAACUCAUGUAAUUUCUGUUUGCAGUUUGUAAAAUUAAUCUUUUUUAAGUGUGCCUUUGUGUUUCCUAUACAGUUUUAAACUAAUCCAUGGAGCAAAUGGACAGUCCCAGGAGGGGAAAGAGAGUUAUGGUCAUCUAAGUAAAUUUAGUAUCUGAAGCUUUUUGCAAGAAGCAGAGUUACAGGAUUGUCAACAUAUGAAAAAGUGUUUAGUAGUCAGUGUACAACAUGGUUGUGUUCAUCAGCUGAGAAAAGUAAUGGCACCUAACAGUGAAACAACAUGGGAGUAGCACAGCCUUGGUGCUGAACUCAUGACGGAGGAAAACUCUGGGUCCUCUUCUCAUUAUUGUGUGUCCUGAAUUGACAUAAAACCACAAUCCUCUUGGGCUGGGGGCUGGGUAGAAGUAUGUUGGAGACAUAAAGAUUCUGUGAUCCUAUGAUGGGCUUUGGGACCAAUACUGACCUUGAAAAGGAAAUGUCUGCUGCCUAAGCAAAUGCAAUGAAUAACCCUGUCCUUGUUUGAAAGAGACAGCUGAGGGGACGACCUAGCUCUGGGCAUCUACAGUGCUGUUCUUCCCAGCUGUUUCAGAAUUCCCUCACUGCAGAGCAUUUGUGGAUGAUCAAGCCAAUUCAGAAUGAAGACUGAUGGAUUUUCCUAUGUUAAUUAAAACUCAUUUAAUACUGCCAAGGACUACAGAUGAAGCUGCCAGACAUCUCCCUUCUCAGCAUAUGAACAUAUCUGUAAUGUGUGGCCUCACCCUGAUGUUGUGCAUCUCAGAGUGCAAGAGGUCAGCUUUAAGGGCAGCUGAGAGAGGAAGCUGCCUUAGGCAGCUGCUUGUGAUGGAAGGCAAGAAGGAUGAAAAUAUGAAAUACUUAUCACUGCUAGCAGUGAAAAAAUCAACAAGAAGGAGAAACUGAUUUCUUUUUGUCUGACUUUUUUGCCUAUCUUUUACCCAGUUAAAACUGGGUAAUGAAGUCAAAGACAAAUGGUGAUAAAGUGAAGUGUAAAAAAUAAGCUAAGGGAGGUGUAGCUUCUGUAACAUUCUCAUUUCCUUCUCCAUCUCUUUCUCUCUGUUCUUCCCAUUAUCUGUCAUCAACUAUUUCCUGUAAGCAGCAUGUUCUUUUUGCUAAUUGUGCAGAAAUUCAUACUCUCAUCUAUUAGCACUUCAUGGUUCCUGUCUGUUACAGGGUAAAGUAUUGCCAACUCCAGACAUUCCAAAGAAAUUACAAAAGUGGAUUUUUCUUAAAAAGAGGAAGUUUGAACUUGCUAUGUAUGGGUAGUGAAUAUCAAGUUUUUGACGUCAGAAUGCAAUCUGGUUGUGUUUUCAAGUCUCCCUCCACAAUACUCUAGCCAUGUAUUUGUUUUUUAAGUAAAGAUUCUCCUGUUAUCUUUUGCUUCCAAAGGCAGAAGGGUUAUGAUUUUAACCAUAGAACAAAACUGACCUUCUCAUGAUGACAUAAUAACAGAAAAUAAAAUUUGUACAUUUUU
This is a non-coding RNA of Coturnix japonica (Japanese quail), 5162 nucleotides long. The record is from RefSeq and is a predicted model, not a curated record. Lineage: Eukaryota; Metazoa; Chordata; Aves; Galliformes; Phasianidae.